UGGUGGGUAGUUUGACUGGGGCGGUCUCCUCCUAAAGAGUAACGGAGGAGCACGAAGGUUGGCUAAUCCUGGUCGGACAUCAGGAGGUUAGUGCAAUGGCAUAAGCCAGCUUGACUGCGAGCGUGACGGCGCGAGCAGGUGCGAAAGCAGGUCAUAGUGAUCCGGUGGUUCUGAAUGGAAGGGCCAUCGCUCAACGGAUAAAAGGUACUCCGGGGAUAACAGGCUGAUACCGCCCAAGAGUUCAUAUCGACGGCGGUGUUUGGCACCUCGAUGUCGGCUCAUCACAUCCUGGGGCUGAAGUAGGUCCCAAGGGUAUGGCUGUUCGCCAUUUAAAGUGGUACGCGAGCUGGGUUUAGAACGUCGUGAGACAGUUCGGUCCCUAUCUGCCGUGGGCGCUGGAGAACUGAGGGGGGCUGCUCCUAGUACGAGAGGACCGGAGUGGACGCAUCACUGGUGUUCGGGUUGUCAUGCCAAUGGCACUGCCCGGUAGCUAAAUGCGGAAGAGAUAAGUGCUGAAAGCAUCUAAGCACGAAACUUGCCCCGAGAUGAGUUCUCCCUGACUCCUUGAGAGUCCUGAAGGAACGUUGAAGACGACGACGUUGAUAGGCCGGGUGUGUAAGCGCAGCGAUGCG
Molecule: ribosomal RNA, 632 nt
Filed under: Escherichia coli
Lineage: Bacteria; Pseudomonadati; Pseudomonadota; Gammaproteobacteria; Enterobacterales; Enterobacteriaceae
Description: partial 23S ribosomal RNA
Rfam family: Bacterial large subunit ribosomal RNA
Source: RNAcentral